UACGGGGGGGGCUAGCGUUGUUCGGAAUUACUGGGCGUAGAGGGCGCGUAGGCGGUCUGCUAAGUUGGAUGUGAAAACUCUGGGCUUAACCCAGAGCCUGCAUUCAAUACUGACAGGCUAGAGUUCUGGAGGGGAUAGCGGAAUUCCAGGUGUAGCGGUGAAAUGCGUAGAUAUCUGGAGGAACACCGGUGGCGAAGGCGGCAUCCUGGACCGGUAUUGACGCUGAGGCGCGAAAGCCAGGGGAGCAAACGGG
RNAcentral lists this ribosomal RNA (253 nucleotides) under uncultured prokaryote. Its description in RNAcentral is "partial 16S ribosomal RNA". It matches the Rfam family "Bacterial small subunit ribosomal RNA", at positions 524 to 776 of the family's 1533-position model. The record is from RNAcentral.